This 189-nucleotide ribosomal RNA is filed under the name uncultured bacterium. RNAcentral's name for it is "partial 16S ribosomal RNA". It matches the Rfam family "Bacterial small subunit ribosomal RNA", at positions 338 to 524 of the family's 1533-position model. The record is from RNAcentral.
CCUACGGGAGGCAGCAGUAAGGAAUAUUGGUCAAUGGAGGCAACUCUGAACCAGCCAUGCCGCGUGCANGAAGACUGCCUUAUGGGUUGUAAACUGCUUUUAUACGGGAAUAAACCUUGAUUCGUGAAUCGAGCUGAAUGUACCGUAAGAAUAANGAUCGGCUAACUCCGUGCCAGCAGCCGCGGUAAU